GAUGAACGCUGGCGGCGUGCCUAACACAUGCAAGUCGAACGAAUGGACCACAUUCUUGCUUCUCUGAUGUUAGCGGCGGACGGGUGACUCACACGCGGCUUACCUCCCUCUAAGACUUGGAUACGUUCGGGAAACGGUAGUUACUACCGGUUAAUAUUUUGCACCGCAUUGUUCAAAAGAGAAUGCCGGUCUUGCUGUUACGUCUAGAUGGUUCCGCGCUGCAUUAGAUGGUUGGUCAGGUAACGGCUUACCAAGGCAACGAUGCAUAGCCGACGUGAGAGGGUGAUCGGCCACUCUGGAACUGAGACACGGUCCAGACUACUACGGGAGGCAGCAGUAGGGAAUCUGCCGCAAAGGGCGAAAGCCUGACGGAGCAACGCAGCGUGAGUGAUGAAGGUCUUCGGAUCGUAAAACUCUGUUAUUAGGGAAGAACAGAUGUGUAAGUAACUGAGCACAUCUUGACGGUACCUAAUCAGAAAGCCACGGCUAACUACGUG
Molecule: ribosomal RNA, 497 nt
Filed under: uncultured bacterium
Lineage: Bacteria
Description: partial 16S ribosomal RNA
Rfam family: Bacterial small subunit ribosomal RNA
Source: RNAcentral